Molecule: long non-coding RNA, 758 nt
Filed under: Salmo salar (Atlantic salmon)
Lineage: Eukaryota; Metazoa; Chordata; Actinopteri; Salmoniformes; Salmonidae
Description: lncRNA (ENSSSAG00000099667.1)
Source: RNAcentral
GGGGGGGGGGUGUUGAGCGUAAAGCUAAAGGUGUGGUCUGGUCAUGAGUUGGAGGGUUCAUCUCCUUCCAUUGGGUCUUAUAUACGUUUUCUUCUACACAGUCUGUUAUACAUCAAUGGGUUCUGAUUGGAGUGGAUGAUUAUAGACCCUGUGGGGGGGGAUUCAAAAUGUUACCCUACCAGGUCUGGACUACUGCUGUUGUUCUCCUCUACCUGGUCAUUACUGGUACCCGCCUGGUGUCCCAGGUCUAAAUCAGGCCCUGAUUAGAGGGGGAACAAUGACUGGUGUCCCAGGUCUAAAUCAGGCCCUGAUUAGAGGGGGAACAAUGACUGGUGUCUCAGGUCUAAAUCAGUCCCUGAUUAGAGGGGAACAAUGACUGGUGUCUCAGGUCUAAAUCAGCCCCUGGUGUCCCAGGUCUUAAUCAGCCCCUGGUGUCCCUGGUCUAAAUCAGGCCCUGAUUAGAGGGGAACAAUGACUGGUGUCUCAGGUCUAAAUCAGCCCCUGGUGUCCCAGGUCUAAAUCAGGCCCUGAUUCGAGGGGGAACAAUGACUGGUGUCCCAGGUCUAAAUCAGCCCCUGGUGUCCCAGGUCUAAAUCAGCCCCUGGUGUCCCAGGUCUAAAUCAGCCCCUGGUGUCCCAGGUCUAAAUCAGGCCCUGAUUCGAGGGGAACAAUGACUGGUGUCCCAGGUCUAAAUCAGCCCCUGGUGUCCCAGAUCUAAAUCAGCCCCUGGUGUCCCAGGUCUAAAUCAGCCCCUGGUG